Dipodomys ordii (Ord's kangaroo rat) is the source of this 159-nucleotide non-coding RNA. Lineage: Eukaryota; Metazoa; Chordata; Mammalia; Rodentia; Heteromyidae. The record is from Rfam.
AGCUUUGCGCAGUGGCAGUAUGGGAGCCAAUGAGGUUUAUCCGAGGCGCGAUUAUUGCUAAUUGAAAAAUAAUUAUGUUCCAAACUGGCCCUCAUCUACUAAGGUGUGAUACAGGAUCUUCCUGGGCGAAGUUCCAGUAUUUCAGAAGUUAUACAUAAA